Molecule: long non-coding RNA, 2956 nt
Organism: Rhopalosiphum padi (bird cherry-oat aphid)
Lineage: Eukaryota; Metazoa; Arthropoda; Insecta; Hemiptera; Aphididae
Exons: 3
Source: RefSeq, a predicted model, not a curated record
AAUAAUUUCGAAGACGUCGAAUGUAUUAAUAUGUAUAUUGUAUAGUAUUAUUGUAGAUAAUCGCCGGUCAGUGACCGGAAUCGACAAUAUCCAAAUACGCUCUAAUAUAAUAUAGGCUUCAGUCGGGCCGGGAGGACGUGUGCCGCCGAGAGAAUUGAUUCUGGCGGCGGCAAACGGUCGUCGCGGAAACGGAAACGAUCAGACGGCGGCGGUAGCGGCGCGCGCUUUGAAUAUUUGAUUGGGCCGAAACUUCCGAAUUCGGUCGCCCACGAAAUUCGGAAACACGGCGCGGGUCCGGCGGCGCGACAUCCGGCAAUGUACGUAGUCGUAUGGAGAUUGGAGGUACACGAUCGCGGUAUCGACCGAAAAUACAACGACGACGGCUGGUAAACGCGUGGCAACGGGUGUACGUGGACGAAUGGUACCUAUAUAAAGCCGUAUUUUUGGGGGGCCACGGUGAAUCUGCCGGGCGUCAGGUAAAGGCGACUAUACAGGUAUAACGUGUGUAAGAUUGACGGCGUGAUCGGCGGCGGAGGAGGAUCGUCGUGGAAACAGCAGCCCGUCGGCCCGUCAGAAACAGCAGCGGCCACGGACAGAACCAAGCAAAGCAGCUGUUGCGUGCACCUGGUGCCCAGGACGAUGACGACGUCGACAACGACGACUACGACGACGACGACGACGACGGCGAAGACCUCGCGGGCCUUAACACACACACACUCGCACACAGGCACAGACACGUUUGGAUGAGGAGACGGCAGCUGGUCGGUCGGUGAACAUUAAUAUAAUAUACAUAUAUAAACGCAUGCACACAAACCCCGAGGAAGACAGUCGCGGGGCACAGACACACGAGCAUACGAAUAAAAGGUACCUUUUUUCACCCCCCGCCCGCCCCCGCUAACCCGCUCGCGCUGCACCCCGACCGACCGGUAUAUAAUAAUAUAAUAUACGAGUUAUAUAACAUGGCGAAACACGUAUGUGUGUGCGUGUAUAGGUCCUACCGUGAUUUUCCCGCCAAAAAACCUCACCAUAUAAUAUUGACCUCGCCAGGCCAUCGGCACCCGCACACCACCUGCACACGCGACCUUAUACACCAAGAUUCCCGCCAAAAUACACCUGCUGCUGACUGUUCUCUCUCUCUCUGUCAGUCUCUCCGUGUAUAUUAUAGGUACCUACCUACCUACCUAUACCUUUAUUAUCACCUGCUUUUUUAUUUUAUAUGUGUGUGUGUGUGUUUUUUUCCUCAAUGCCUUGUGCUCGCGAACGUCUAUCGUUACUCGACGGUCUCGUUAUUAUACAUAUAUAUUAUUAUAUUAUUAUAAUAUAAAAUACAUUUGUGUGUGUGAGUGUAAAAACUAAAAAUCGGUUCUCCUAUAGACUGCAACAGCUGUUCCGGCGACGGUGGCAUAUACAAUGAAAAUAAGACCCUGUUGCUCGGCUAACAUUUUAUAUAUAGGUAUGUAUAUACAUGUAUAUAGCAGACGUGAUGUAUAGGUUUAUAGAAGUGUGUACAGUAGAAAAUUUUACCUAAAGUACAAUUUUUUUCUUUUUGGUGCGGUGCCUGUACGUGAAAAAUAGGAUUAUGUUUCGAGCAACCAUGCAAUCUAUAGACAACUAUAUGGGUAGGAGGUAUAACCAUAUAACCGACCCUCGCGACAAGCCCAUACGCAGAUUAAAACCAAUACACUAUACCUACUGUACCUAACCUUAUUAUAUUUAUGUGACCAUUACGUAUUGUAUAUAAUAAUAUAUUUUAUAAGACGCACCCCGCAGACGACGACCGUGUUACGCAACAUCAUCGCGGGUGCAACGCGGUUCAGACGUACGGGUAGGGGUGCCGCGCUGAAGGUCAGACGAUCCCUGCGGGAGAAGGCCGUCGUCGUAGUAAAUAAUAAUAAUAAGGGCUUGGAUUUAUGAACAUAAUAUAUAACUAUGGUGCGCGAUCACGUAUUUUUUCGAAAAUGCGAUUGGCCGAUUUUGACACGCUUUUCGAUAUACGAGUAUACUUGAAUGUAUAACGUGCUAAUUUUUAUUUUUUACAGGAAGUCGUAUGUUUUCCUUAAUGGCUUAUUCAAAUGUAUUGAAUUCGUCUUUGAAUAUAAAAAGAAACCUUUAGAAAAUGUAUAACACAUUGAAAAAAACUGACAUUCAUUUUAUAAAGUGUGAAUCUGUAAAUUCACUAUCGUGUUCUUUUCAUUUUUUCUUUUAUUAAUGAAUUUGUUCGUAUACGUAGGUACCAAUUUAUUUAUUUUUAUUUUUAAGAUUUGUUGCUAUUAUAGCACUAUGUGUUCAAAAGAAAUUGGUAUUGCAGCUGCCAGUAACACUCUUAAAUGGCAUAUAAAAUCUAAGUAUUUAAAAAUAUUUCGUAGAGUAUACAAAAAUCAAAAUUUGAAUAAAUCCAUUAUUAAGCGGAAAAAUAGGAGUGAAUAUUUGGUGAAUCACUAUUUGUAUAUAAGUGCAAUAAUUCAAUUUUUGAAAGUUACAGUUAUGAAAAAUAAUCUAAAGAAACAUUUCAAAUGUUAUUUCAAACGGUCAUAAAAAUAGAUAUGAAAAAUGACAAUAUAUAUAGCCUAAAUGUAUUCAAAUUCUAGUAAUAUUGAGUAAGUAAAAAAAACAAUUGUGUAAGUAUAAGUUUUGGGUAGAAAAUGGGAUUCUUUUUUAUUUGUGCACUACAGAUUGGGUGCAGUACCGACAGGUCUACUGUAUUUUUACUACUUUCUCCAAAUUUAAAACCACCCCUAAAUAUUUAUAAUAUAUGUAUUUUAUAAUAAUAGGUGUUACAUUUUUUUCAUCUAUAGUAGGUAAUAUACAUUAACAGUAAACACACAUAUUAUUUGAAUAAUUUUAAACAGCAUUUAUUAUUAUUUAUAUAUUAACCUAUAAUAGAACUAUAUGUAUAUGUAUUUAUUUUUGUAAUCAUUAAUAAUUGUUUAACUUGCAAUAGUCGUAGAGUCGUACA